RNAcentral lists this ribosomal RNA (465 nucleotides) under uncultured bacterium. Its description in RNAcentral is "partial 16S ribosomal RNA". It matches the Rfam family "Bacterial small subunit ribosomal RNA", at positions 28 to 507 of the family's 1533-position model. The record is from RNAcentral.
GACGAACGCUGGCGGCGUGCUUAACACAUGCAAGUCGAACGGAAAGGCCCCUUUGGGGGUACUCGAGUGGCGAACGGGUGAGUAACACGUGAGUAACCUGCCCUUGACUUCGGGAUAACUUCAGGAAACUGGGGCUAAUACCGGAUAGGAAUCCUUGCUGCAUGGUGGGGGUUGGAAAGCUUCGGCGGUUUUGGAUGGACUCGCGGCUUAUCAGCUUGUUGGUGGGGUAGUGGCUUACCAAGGCUUUGACGGGUAGCCGGCCUGAGAGGGCGACCGGCCACAUUGGGACUGAGAUACGGCCCAGACUCCUACGGGAGGCAGCAGGGGGGAAUAUUGCACAAUGGGCGGAAGCCUUAUGCAGCAACGCCGCGUGCGGGAUGACGGCCUUCGGGUUGUAAACCGCUUUCAGCAGGGGCGAAGCUUGUGGUGACGGUACCUGCAGAAGAAGCACCGGCUAACUACGUG